RNAcentral lists this ribosomal RNA (497 nucleotides) under uncultured bacterium. RNAcentral describes it as "partial 16S ribosomal RNA". It matches the Rfam family "Bacterial small subunit ribosomal RNA", at positions 28 to 507 of the family's 1533-position model. The record is from RNAcentral.
GAUGAACGCUGGCGGCGUGCCUAAUACAUGCAAGUCGAGCGAACAGACGAGGAGCUUGCUCCUCUGACGUUAGCGGCGGACGGGUGAGUAACACGUGGAUAACCUACCUAUAAGACUGGGAUAACUUCGGGAAACCGGAGCUAAUACCGGAUAAUAUAUUGAACCGCAUGGUUCAAUAGUGAAAGAUGGUUUUGCUGUCACUUAUAGAUGGAUCCGCGCCGCAUUAGCUAGUUGGUAAGGUAACGGCUUACCAAGACAACGAUGCGUAGCCGACCUGAGAGGGUGAUCGGCCACACUGGAACUGAGACACGGUCCAGACUCCUACGGGAGGCAGCAGUAGGGAAUCUUCCGCAAUGGGCGAAAGCCUGACGGAGCAACGCCGCGUGAGUGAUGAAGGUCUUCGGAUCGUAAAACUCUGUUAUUAGGGAAGAACAAAUGUGUAAGUAACUAUGCACGUCUUGACGGUACCUAAUCAGAAAGCCACGGCUAACUACGUG